GAUGAACGCUGGCGGCGUGCUUAACACAUGCAAGUCGAACGAAGCUAGUUUGUUUGGAUCCCUUCGGGGUGACGAACUUAUUGACUGAGUGGCGGACGGGUGAGUAACACGUGAGCAACCUGCCUUUCAGAGGGAAUAACGUUUGGAAACGAACGCUAAUACCGCAUAACGUAUCGAAGUGGCAUCGCUUUGAUACCAAAGGAGCAAUCCGCUGAAAGAUGGGCUCGCGUCCGAUUAGAUAGUUGGUGAGGUAACGGCCCACCAAGUCGACGAUCGGUAGCCGGACUGAGAGGUUGAACGGCCACAUUGGGACUGAGACACGGCCCAGACUCCUACGGGAGGCAGCAGUGAGGGAUAUUGGUCAAUGGGGGAAACCCUGAACCAGCGACGCCGCGUAAGGGAAGACGGUUUUCGGAUUGUAAACCUCUGUCUUUGGGGACGGAUAAAUGACGGUACCCAAGGAGGAAGCCACGGCUAACUACGUG
This 485-nucleotide ribosomal RNA is filed under the name uncultured bacterium. RNAcentral's name for it is "bacterial SSU rRNA". It matches the Rfam family "Bacterial small subunit ribosomal RNA", at positions 28 to 507 of the family's 1533-position model. The record is from RNAcentral.